Molecule: non-coding RNA, 1803 nt
Filed under: Betula luminifera
Lineage: Eukaryota; Viridiplantae; Streptophyta; Magnoliopsida; Fagales; Betulaceae
Source: RNAcentral
UCCUUUUACAAAUCAACACCAAUUUAUCAUUAUGAUAUAACACUUGCGGAGAUUAUCCAUAGUGAGAAUUUUUCCUAAAGAUGUUGUCCACAUGGAAAAUGCCACCCUCAAAGAAGCCUUAGAUCUCCAUAUGUUCUUUCAAGGAAAGUAGUAGUCAACGUUAGGGAGGAGAACUUUGUAAAAUGUUUUGACCUCAAAAGAUCAUCCUUUGGAAGAAACCCCAACAACACUCAUCUUCAUCUCCCCAACUCCUCCUAACAGAAUAUCUAGCAUUGAAAAAAGAAGAUACAUAAACCACGUCACAAUCACGCACCAAUUUGAUAAUAUUCAUGUCCCAAUGCACCUCGUCAUUAUGGGCAAACAUAUUUUAGCCACCAAAGCACCCCUACCCCUUGCAAUGCAAAAUAAUUUCGAAAAAGAUUCCUUCAUAGGAAGAUCCACACACCAAAAGUCAUAACAAAACCUGGUCCGAGAGCCAUCACCUACCUCGAUAGUAACCAACUAGAGAAGGCAUCCCAACCCCUCCUAAUAUGUUUCCAUAGUCACCCCAUAAGGCCCGACAACUUUAAAACACCAUCCACCCACCAAACUACCAUCUAUGUUAUCCAUUACCUAAAAAAUGACUUGACACAUACCUAGAAAAUGUGCACUUUGUUCUGAUCAGAAGCACAUUUGGACUUUGCACUUAGGAUCCAUCAUGCCUCUGUGCUUAAGUGCUCCUAAUGCUUGUAACAACAUUAAAGUUUUGUUUGAUAUGCGGAAUGGCUAUUCCUUGGAAUAGCCCUUAUUAAGAAUAGAAUUAGUAGAGUGAAUUAGCCUUGAAAUAAUCAUUCUCAUGGCCAUAAAAGAAUGAUUAUUCAUUUCAUUAAGGGAAUAAGCAUUCCUCUUAAAUUAAGAGGAAUAGCUAUUACUUCAAUUGAAGAAAUGGACAUCCCCUCAUGGACAUCAGAAUGGAUAUUACAAAGCUUUCACUACACUCAUUCCAUUCUUAAUAAAGGUUAUUCCUUGGAAUAGCCUUUCCGCGUACCAAAUGUGUCCUAACACUUUUAACUUCCCUAAAAGGACCCUAUUGAAGGUCCUCAAAUUCCGAAUCUCCAACCCUCCCUAAAAAAUAGGAGAGCACACCGAAAACUAGUUAACUAGAUGAGUUCAAAUUUCACCUGGUUAACUAGUCUUCGAUGUGCUCUCCUAUUUCUGACGGAGGGCUGGGAAUUCAAAACUUGAGGACCUUCAAUAGGGCCCUUUUAGGGAAGUGGUUGUGGCAUUAUGUGCAUGAGAGGGAGGCUUGAUGGAAAAUCAUUGUGGAUGCUAAAUUUGGUAGAAUGGGGUGGUGUUCUCUUACUCCCACGAGGCCACAUGGAGUGGGGUUAUGAAAAAAUAUUAGGAGGGGUUGAAGCUUAUUCUGCAGGGAGAUGGGUCUAGGAUCACAUUUUGGGAUGAUGUGUGGUGCGGAGAGCUACCUCUCAAAGACGCAUUUUCGGUCUUAUAUAGCUUUGUCCACAAGAAGGAUGCGUUUGUUGCAAAUCAUAUGGACUAUUCUAGUGACUCUCUUCAAUGGGAUGUUAGCUUUGUUCGCACGGCUCAUGAUUGGAAAUUGGACACCAUGGCUUCUUUCUUCACUCUUUUGUAUUCUUUUCGUGGGAGAAGAGAAGGGGAAGACAAGCUUUGGUGGAUCCCCUCCUGUAAGGGAAAGUUUGAUGUUAGAUUCCUUUUACAAAUUUUUAGCACAUAAUGAUGCUCGGCCUUUUCCUUGGAAGAGUAUCUUGAGGACAAAGGCGCCUGUGAAAGUAGCUUUCUUUGCUU